Molecule: long non-coding RNA, 683 nt
Filed under: Homo sapiens (human)
Lineage: Eukaryota; Metazoa; Chordata; Mammalia; Primates; Hominidae
Description: HSALNT0323426
Source: RNAcentral
GAGAGGUGGUCUCCUCCCUUAAUUAUGGUAUGCUAUUGCAUCACAGUUCUUCCAAUUUUGAUGUUGCUAUGGUUUGAAUUUUUCCCUCAAAGUUCAUGUGUUAAAACCUAAUCCCCAACACAACUUUAAGAGGCGCUUAACUCAUGAGGGCUUCAGCCGGAUGAACUGAUUAAUGUUGUUUUUGUGGGAGUGGGAUAAAAUAAUGAGUUUGGCCCCCUUCCCACAAGUUCUCUAAUUCUUACCUUCUUUUGCCCUUCCUCCUUUCACAAUGAAAUGAAGCAGCAAGAAGAUCCUCGCCAGAUACGUGGGCCUCUUGAACUUGGACUUCCCAGCCUGCAGAAUGGGCCCGUUACUGUCAGAUUCCGGCAGUUGACCCUGGUGAUUUCACAGCAGCAAGCACUGCAGGCGUUCCCAACACACAAGGCAAACUCUGUAUAUGGGCUCACCACCCACAGAUCCAGCUGUCUGUCAUGUCGUUCCCAUAUUGAAGGAACAUAACCUGUUAUUAAGCCAAUUCAGCCCUGGAAGAAGGAACAAGUUUCCAAAAUGCAAUCUUUGAGUUUGGAAAAUGGCAUUUGAGAGAAGCACAAAAAUAACUUGAGGUCCUGUGAGCAUAGAGGGAGUUGGCAGCCAGCUGCCUACAAGCCAAGAGAAGCAGCUUCAGAAUGAAAGCUGCCUUGUCA